Molecule: ribosomal RNA, 312 nt
Filed under: Triticum aestivum (bread wheat)
Lineage: Eukaryota; Viridiplantae; Streptophyta; Magnoliopsida; Poales; Poaceae
Description: partial small subunit ribosomal RNA
Source: RNAcentral
AUGGCCAAAACCACUAGUAUACUUCAGGAUAUGAGUGCCAAAGAUCCGGACUUCAAAGUUUGCGUGCAAGUAGACGGUGAAAGCAGGGUGAAAACAGUAAUAUGGUGUAAUGGUAAAAACCGUCUAGAUUAUGCACAUUUUGGUGAGGUGGUUACUUUCGAUACCACUUACAGGACCAACCUGUAUAACAUGCCAUUUGGGCUUUUUGUUGGUGUCAAUAACCAUUUCCAGUCUAUUAUUUUUGGUGGCGUCCUCAUGAUGAUGAAAAGACUCCUACAUUUGAGUGGGCAUUUAGAAAUUUUAUUGACUUGA